ACACUGGAACUGAGACACGGUCCAGACUCCUACGGGAGGCAGCAGUGGGGAAUAUUGCACAAUGGGCGCAAGCCUGAUGCAGCCAUGCCGCGUGUGUGAAGAAGGCCUUCGGGUUGUAAAGCACUUUCAGCGGGGAGGAAGGCGUUAAGGUUAAUAACCUUGGCGAUUGACGUUACCCGCAGAAGAAGCACCGGCUAACUCCGUGCCAGCAGCCGCGGUAAUACGGAGGGUGCAAGCGUUAAUCGGAAUUACUGGGCGUAAAGCGCACGCAGGCGGUCUGUCAAGUCGGAUGUGAAAUCCCCGGGCU
Molecule: ribosomal RNA, 307 nt
Filed under: Klebsiella pneumoniae
Lineage: Bacteria; Pseudomonadati; Pseudomonadota; Gammaproteobacteria; Enterobacterales; Enterobacteriaceae
Description: bacterial SSU rRNA
Rfam family: Bacterial small subunit ribosomal RNA
Source: RNAcentral